Molecule: ribosomal RNA, 1796 nt
Organism: Neurospora crassa OR74A
Lineage: Eukaryota; Fungi; Ascomycota; Sordariomycetes; Sordariales; Sordariaceae
Rfam family: Eukaryotic small subunit ribosomal RNA
Source: Rfam
UACCUAAUUAAUUCUACUAAUAGUUAUAUACUUAUUUUAAAAAUUAAACUAUAUAUAUUUAAAUUUAAGCAAUUAAACUACGAAAUUACAAAUAGCUUAUUAAAUCAAUUAUAGUUUAUUUAAUAGUACCUUACUAUAUAGAUAACUGUAGUAAUUCUAAAGCUAAUAUAUAUUAAAAACCCCGACUUCGGAAGGGGUAUAUUUAUUAAAUUAAAAACUAAUACCCUUCGGGGCUAACUAAUAAUUUAUAAUAACUUCUCGAAUUAUAUAACUUUACACUAACGAUAAUUUAUUCAAAUUUCUACCCUAUUAACUUUCGAUAGUUAAAUCUUAGCUAACUAUAGUAAUAAUAGGUAAUAGAGGGUUAGGGCUCAACCCUAGAGAAGGAGCUUAAGAAAUGGCUACUAUAUCUAAGGAAGGUAAUAAGUACGUAAAUUACCUAAUCCCAAUAUAGGGAAGUAAUAAUAAUAAAUAUUAAUACAAGGCUCUUUUAAAUCUUAUAAUUAGAAUAAGUACAAUUUAAAUCCUUUAAUAAAGAAUAAUUAGAGGGCAAAUUUAGUACUAGCAGCUAUAGUAAUUCUAAUUCCAAUAACGUAUAUUAAAAUUAUUAAAAUUAAAAAACUCGUAAUUAAACUUUAGACUCGGCCCGUCGGUCCGCCUCACCGCGUAUACUAACUAGGUCGGGCCUUUUUUUCUAGAAAACCGUAUACCCUUUACUAGGUAUAUCGGGGAACUAGGACUUUUACUAUAAAUAAAUUAAAUUGUUUAAAGAAGGCCUAUAUUCGAAUAUAUUAGUAUAAAAUAAUAGAAUAGAAUAUAUAGUUCUAUUUUAUUAAUUUCUAGGACCGCCGUAAUAAUUAAUAGGGAUAGUCGGGGGUAUUAAUAUUCAAUUGUUAGAAGUGAAAUUCUUAGAUUUAUUAAAGACUAACUACUACAAAAAUAUUUACUAAGGAUAUUUUUAUUAAUUAGGAAUAAAAGUUAGGGGAUUGAAGACGAUUAAAUACUAUUGUAGUUUUAAUUAUAAAUUAUACUAAUUAGGGAUCGGAUAGUAUUAUUUUUUAACCCGUUCGGCACCUUAUAAUAAAUUAAAAUAUUUAGGCUCCUAGGGGAAUAUAAUCGCAAGGUUGAAACUUAAAAAAAUUAAUAGAAGGGUACUACUAAGGGUAGAGCCUACGGUUUAAUUUAACUUAAUACAGGGAAACUUACUAGGUCUAAAUACAAUAAGGAUUAAUAGAUUAAGAAUUCUUUCUUAAUUUCGUAGGUAGUAGUAUAUAGCUAUUCUUAAUUAAUAAAAUAAUUUAUUUAUUUAAUUAUAAUAACGAACAAAACUUUAACCUACUAAAUAGCCCGUAUUACUUUAGUAAUACACUAACUUCUUAAAGGGAUUAUCGGUUUAAACCGAUAGAAAUUUAAAGUAAUAAUAGGUCUAUAAUACCCUUAAAUAUUCUAAGCCGCACGCACGCUAUACUAAUAUAGCCAGCGAAUACUCCCUUGGCUAGAAGGUCCGGGUAAUCUUAUUAAAUUGUAUUGUAUUAGGGAUAGAGUAUUGCAAUUAUUACUCUUUAAUAAAAAAUCCCUAAUAAAUGUAAAUUAUUAACUUAUAUUAAUUAUAUCCCUGCCCUUUAUAUAUACCGCCUAUUACUAUUACCAAUUGAAUAGCUUAAUAAGGCUUCCGGACUAGCUUAGGGAGGUCGGCAACAACUACCUAAAGCCGGAAAACUAUCCAAAUUCAGUUAUUUAGAAGAAAUAAAAAUUAUAAUAAAGUUUCUAUUAAUAAACUAGCGGAGGGAUUAUUA